UAGGGUCUUCCGUUGGUGACCAGCGGAGGGAUCAUUACUGAGUGAUAAAACCCCCAACCCUAUGUGAACUUACCACUGUUGCCUCGGCGGGUCCCCCCGGGCGCGUUCGCACUACCCGGACCCACGCUACCGCCCCACGCUCCAAACUGCUGUCUUUGUUAUAUUACUGAUCUCUGAAUGCUUCAACUUAAUACUUUAAAACUUUGAUCUCUUGUCUCUUGGUUCUGGAAGAACUGAACAAAAUGCCAAAAUGAAUGUGAAUUGGUGAAUUGCAUAAUUCAUCGAAUCUUUGAAUCUUUGAUGGCCCCUUGAGCCUUCUGGUAUUCUUGCCUGCAUGCCUGUUCUAGCGACCCUUCAACCCUUAAGCCCCUGUUGCUUAUUGUUGGGAAUCCUGCCCCUGGGGGCUAGGGCCCUGAAAUCCAGUGGGAGUUCCCUCGUACUCUCUCCGUGCAAUACCAUUCUCGCUUUUGCAGGAUAGCCGGCGGCUUGCCGUAAAACCCCUAUAUCUUCUCAGGGUGACCUUCAAACCAGGAAGAAAUCCCGGUUAACUUUAACAUAUUAAUAAAGGGAAAAAAAGU
Molecule: ribosomal RNA, 578 nt
Filed under: fungal sp. MF2
Lineage: Eukaryota; Fungi
Description: eukaryotic LSU rRNA
Source: RNAcentral